This 504-nucleotide ribosomal RNA is filed under the name uncultured bacterium. RNAcentral's name for it is "partial 16S ribosomal RNA". It matches the Rfam family "Bacterial small subunit ribosomal RNA", at positions 28 to 523 of the family's 1533-position model. The record is from RNAcentral.
GAUAAACGCUAGCGGCAGGCUUAACACAUGCAAGUCGAGGGGCAGCAUAGAUUGUAGCAAUACAAUUGGUGGCGACCGGCGCACGGGUGCGUAACGCGUAUGCAACCUACCCGUCACAGGGGGAUAAUCCGGAGAAAUCUGGUCUAAUACCCCAUAACAUAUGGAUCGGCAUCGGUUCAUGUUGAAAUUUUCGGAGGUGACGGAUGGGCAUGCGUAGCAUUAGCUUGUUGGUGAGGUAACGGCUCACCAAGGCGACGAUGCUUAGGGGGACUGAGAGGUUUUCCCCCCACACUGGUACUGAGACACGGACCAGACUCCUACGGGAGGCAGCAGUGAGGAAUAUUGGUCAAUGGGCGCAAGCCUGAACCAGCCAUGCCGCGUGCAGGAUGACGGCUCUAUGAGUUGUAAACUGCUUUUGUACGAGGGUAAAGUGGGUUACGUGUAACCUUUUGAAAGUAUCGUACGAAUAAGGAUCGGCUAACUCCGUGCCAGCAGCCGCCGCCG